Molecule: ribosomal RNA, 370 nt
Filed under: Hapalomantis orba
Lineage: Eukaryota; Metazoa; Arthropoda; Insecta; Mantodea; Nanomantidae
Description: partial 12S ribosomal RNA
Source: RNAcentral
AUACCCUAUUAUUUUUAAUGUAAAUUAAUAACCGGAGUAUUAUUAGUUAAAACUUGAAACUUAAAGAAUUUGGCGGUAUUAUAGUCUAUUUAGAGGAAUCUGUUAUGUAAUCGAUAAUCCUCGUUGAACCUUACUUAUAUUAGUUCUUGUAUACCGCUGUUUAAUGAAUCUAUUUUUAGGUUAAUUUUCUUAAAAAAGGAUUAAUUUGGAUUUCAAGUCAAGGUGCAGUUAUAUGUGAGAUGAAUAAUGGAUUACAAUAAACUUUAUUUAUAUGGAUAUUUUUUGAUUAAUAAACUUGAAGGUGGAUUUAGUUGUAAUUUUUUUAAGAGUAUUAAAAUGAUUAUAGCUCUAUAAUAUGUACACAUCGCCC